AGAAACUCCUUUCAACUAAAUCUUUAAAAUACCCAAAUCCGAUCUCCUCGAGAGAUUGACUUUGAUUCAAUUGCUUUAUGAAACCCUGUGCAAUCCAAAAUUGAACAAGCGCUUGUACUUCAAUUCUGUAAUCUUUUGGAUACAAUCGGCAAUAAGCAAAGCAAUGCUUCAAAUGAGACGGGAGAUGAUCAUAACUCAAUUUCAGUAUAGGUAGAAGUUCUCCUUCAAUUUGUGAUAUUUUAGCUAGUUCAUUUUCUUUGAAAGAAUGCCACUCAUUUGCAGUUUUCUUCAAAGAUAAUGUACCAGCUAUCGUCCUUAUGGCUAAGGGAACCCCACCACACCUUCCCGAAAUCUGUCUCCCCACUUCCACAAAGGCUGAAUUUGUUGAGUCUGCAUAUCCUUGCUCAAAUGCUAUCUUUUUGAACAAAGACCAAGCAUCAUCAUCAGACAAGCCUUUCAAUUUCAAAACAUGGAAUUGACAUUUAUUAGUUAUUAUUAUCCUACUCCCUUUAGCCCCACCCAUCAAUAACUUCUUUAGCCUACACCACUUUUCUGGGUCCUCAUUCCAAAUGUCAUCCAAAACAAGCAAAUAUUUUUUCCCAUCAAUUCUAUCUCGAAGUUGUUUUUGCAAUUGAUCCAUUUCAAGAUUUUGAUCAGGUGCUUGAUUAGUCACAGAUUUGAUAAUAUUUGCUACAAUAACUUUCACAUCAAAAUCAUCUGAAGCACACGCAAACAUCGUUAAGUCAAAAUUAUUUUUGACCAUAAUAUUUAUAUUUUAUUUUAUAUUUGUUUAAGUUCGGCCUGGUCCAAAAUAUAAAUUUAAAGUUUGUUCAAAUUUGUAAACAACUAACUCAAACUCAUUUUAAAUCCACUCAUAAUAUUUUUUAAAAAAUUAAAAUGUAUUUAUAUUAUUUUUAACUUAAUAUUUAAUAAUUUUACAUUUUUAUUAAAAUUUUAUAUAUAGUCAUCGUAACAUUAUAAUAGCAUUAUAAAUUUAAUUUUUAUUUUUUUACAAAUUACAUAAAAUAUAAAAGUAACAUAAUAUAAAAUUUUGCAAACUAAAAAAAUAAGUUGGGCCAAACUUAGGCUUUGGAUAUUCAAAUUUGAGAUCGACCUAUAUUUUAAACGGGCCUAUUUUUUGAAUUAAAUAGUUUUACCCAAAUUCUCCAAAAUUUCAAGUGAGUAAGUCUAGAUUGACUAAAUUUAUUAUACUCUUUCCCUUUUAUUUCCCUAUUGUUUUGGAUUAACAAUACAUUUAUUAAAACUUUAUUGCUUGUAUAGGGAUGAUUAUAUAUUAAAGUUUGACAAUGAUUGUACAAAGCUAUUUUAUUCAUAACCAAGUCAAGAAAUUGUCACUCCACACAGUUGUCUACUUUUUCAAAAUCUACUUUAAAAGAUAGCACCUCCCCUUCUUCACAUCUUUGAAUAUAGUUCACAGUUUCGUUUUUACUGGAGCACGAUCCAGGAUUUAUCAAUCUGAAAUAAAAGUAAAAUUGAAUUUUAUCGAUGGUUUUGAGCCGAGCUUCGAAUCUAUAUAGUCAAAAUAGUCUUACAUAAUGUACACAAGAUUGUCUGAUAAUUUAUUGUGUUUCCAUGUGUUGGAUUAUUAUUUGAAACCCCGAAACAGAAAAUUGUAUUUUUUUUUUUGAAGUUGACACACACAAAAGUAAAAAUAAAGGAGAAUAAAGAACACAACCAAGAUGUUUACGCAGUUCAGAACUCAUCCUACAUUUGUGAGCUUUGUCUAGAGAUAAAAUCGCUAUAAACUUCACAGUACAAUGAAAUUAUUUAUGCCCAACCCUCCAAACUUGAUGCAACCUCACCUUUGUACAAUUAAGUAAACACUCUUCCAACUUAGUGAAAAUCAACACUCAUAAGGUGGCACUCAAAUAAUAGUUACUCACUAAGUGUUCCUUUAAGUCCACAAAUCAUCUAUUUAUACAAGCUCCAAGAUCAGCUGAUGAAGAAUGCAUACAGAUAUGAUAGGUAAGUGCUUAAAUGAAGAAAGCAGAGCAUAUAGUACAACCAUUUUGAAGGCUUCAUAGGCCUCUCUCUCCACAUCAAUCAUUUUUUAGAAUUAAAUUAUUAGAAGCAAUUGUCAAGUUAUUGUUAUGAUUUAAAAGUAAAAAGCAAAUAGAUAAAUUAGCACUUCUUUUUAUGCAUAUAAAAUGAUUGAAGUUGUCUAAUGCCUUUCUCCAGUGCCUUACUGCACAAAUCAGCAAAAAUAUUAUGAAAGGUGAUAAGUAAAAAGUAGGAUUAAAACAAAGGGAUUUUAACAAGGAAAUUAACAGUAUCCAACUUGAAUGAAAAAUGGCAUCAGACCCCUGACUUGGAGAUUCAAUAUACCACUCUUAUUUUUCUUCAAAAAAAGAUAAGGUCGUCAAAAUAAAUAAAUAACAAAGACGGACCAACCUGUUACUACAAAAUGUGGGGGAUGUGAGCUAUCUUAUGCCAAUCAGCACCAAUGUCCUUCCGACAUCUUUCCUCCAACUGAGGAAUUCUUUUUAUUUCUAAAUACUCCAAACUGGUUAGGCAACGCAUCUCGUCCGGAAGAGAUGUUAAAUUGGGCAAAUUAACGAGAUAAAGCCGUUGCAGAUUUGUUAGAUGUUGAAGCCACUCCGGAAGAUGCCGACACUUUGGAAUAAUUUUCAGCCAUAGAGAGCGUAGGCUUGUAUGAUCUUGGAAUAUUUGGAUGCAAGCUCCAGAUAACUCCAGCUCCUUGCAGUCCUUUACUUCAAACUUUUCAAGGAAAGUGAGAUGUUGGAACACAGGAAGCAGUGACCUCAAUCCAUUGCAGUUAUGAAUUUCUAAUGUUUUCAGUUGAAAAAGAUGUUGAAGCCAAAUGGGGAGAGACACCAGCUUUGGAAUAUUAUCAAUCUCCAAAUGAGAGAGAUUCUGAAGGGGUUCCCAUUGCAUGCCCUCUAAAUCAACCUCCUUGCAAUCUCUUAUUGUUAAUCUUUUGAGGCUGGUGAGAUGUUGCAGGCACUCAUCUAGCGUGUGAGUGUCCAACCCCUCAAUGUUCUGUACAAGGAAAGAUUUCAAUUUGGAGAGUGGAAGAGAAGAGGUUGAAGUUGAUGGGGCCUUAGCAUUGAUGUUCAUUUUGAUAGUCUGCUUUAACGGCCUUGAACUGGUAUUCCACAACAUUAGCCCUUUAUCGAGUGAUGGAUACAGUGGCAUCAAAGUCAAAGGGAAAUUUAAAAUCCAUAAAUUGGAAAGACAAGGAAAUGCCAUGGUUGAUGUUCCCAUAACUGUUGUGUCGUCCUCGUUGGAAUCAUCAUCGAUUGGUUUUGUCAUCCUCCACCAACUCUUCAUAUUCGGGCAGCAAAAGAGCUGAAGAUGCUUAAGCGAUGGGAAGAAUGAUUGUGGUUCUCCUUGACUUCCUUUUGGGCUACUAUCAUCCAUGUACUCCAGCUUAGUACAAUCAUGUAUAUCCAGCACUUCAAGACAACGAAAUUGAGCAAAGGACGGGAGAUGUUUGAAAUUACUAUCACUUAUGUAAAUUCUGACGAGAUUUGUGAGCAAAGAAAGCCAACUCGGAAACUUGGCAUCACCCCUCCAUCCUCCAAUAUGGAGCUGCUUGAGAUUAGGAUGGGGCUGGAGGUCUUCAAGUGACUUCUCAUCAUCAUGGUUACGACCGCCCCCUAUUAAAUCCAACGCGCUCAAAUGUUGCUUCUCAUUCAAAUUAGCAGCCUUAAACUUCUCUUUUGCAUUUUUUACGAAUCCCAAAUUUGUUAUUGUUAGGCGUCCCCUUAAGUUGUUAAGCAGUCUCAAUUCACUUAGAUCUGCACCGCCAUGGGACCCAUCUUUAUCCACUACAAACUUGCUUAACGUCUCAAGUGAAGUCAGCUUCCCUAUUCCACGUGGCAUAUGAAGUCAGCUUCCCUAUUCCACGUGGCAUAUGAGUUAAACUAUCACAACCUUCACACCCAAGAUGGGUAAGAUUCACCUUUAUCCAACUUCCAUAUUUGUUAUUAGUAGUAGCAUUUUAUUUUUCUUUUAAAUAUACAUAUAUUUAUUAAGAAAGGAUCGAAGCUUUUAUUUUUCUUUUAAAUAUACAUAUAUUUAUUAAAAAAGGGUCGAAGCUUUUAACUUGUUUAUUAUUAGGGAAAAAAAUUAAAUUUAUACAUGAAUUUUAGUUAAAUGAGUAAUUUGAUACAUGAAUUUUGAUGUGGUAUAAUUUCCACAUGAAACUUGUAUUGUGGGUCAUAUAUAUAUAUAUAUAUAUAUAUAUAUACAUGAAAUUUUAAUUCUGAUUCAACUGUACACAUGUAAAAAAAUGCAUAUAUAUAUAUAGAUAUAUAUAUUACAUUGGAUUAAUAUAAUUGUUUGUCUAUGCAAUAUAUCAAAGUAAAAUGUAAGAGGUUGACUUGGCAUAUCCCAAAACAUUUUGUCAUAGCUUGGAUGGUCAUUCUCGACAAGUUGCCUAUCACUGGCGAAGCCUAGUAGAGACUCCUAAAAUGGUAAAUUUUUAAUUUAGACUUUUUAUAAUUUAUAAAAUUUUAAAUUAAUAAUGAUAAAAUUAUAAUUUAAUCCUCUAAAAAAUUAUAAAAAUUUAAUUUAACUCUUUAAAAAUUAUAAAAAUAUACUACUAUAAAAAUAUAUAAUUUAAUUCCGAAUAAAAAAUUUAGUUCAGCUACUAUUGCGUACAAAAGAAAAAUUAAUUUCGUUUUGGACCUAAUAUCGAGGGUGAUUGCAAACUGUGAGAUACAACACGUGGAGAGAUAUUGGUUUUAUGCAGCUCCAUGGGAAUGUAUUUUAUUAUACCAUCAUGCAGAUUGCUUCCAGUGCUCAUAUCUAUUUAAUUAUUUUAAUACACAUAAAAUUGUUUAUUGUGAGUUGGAUGAUUUUGGUUUAUUUAUUUAAGAUAUUUUAUUUUUAAAUAUAUUCUUAAUUAUUUAUUUUACAUAUACAUGUUUUUUAAUUUUUAAUUAUUUUAACUUAAUAUUUUUAAUAGUGAUUUUUUUAUAUAUAUAAAAAAAGGACCCAAAGGUCACUAUCUCAUUUUAAGUUGCACCAUAAAUUACAAUGUUAUGGAUAUCGCUAGGAUAAUUUAUCUCAAAAGAUAAAUUACAACACUUAAAAAGGGCCCAAUUACAAAGAAUUGGCUAAUUUGUUACAACCACGUUUCACCCAUUUGACCUUGGCGGAAACAAAAGAAUCAAGCCUCUUGUGAGCUCCUUGAUGAAGUGAUCAAUUAUCAUUAUGUCCUCCUUGUGAAAACUAAAGCGGUUGACAAUGCUAGCACAAUCUGUUUUAAAAAUAACAUUAUCGGCUUUAAGAAAUUGAGCAAGUUGAAAACAUUGAUGAGGGCAUCUAAUACCGCUUUAAUAGUGAUUUUUUAUUCUCAUUUUAUCGGUAUAUUUAUAUUUGAAAUAAAAUACAUAUUCUACAAUUAACUUUAAUCUCACUGUUACAAUACCUACAAUCCGCGUGUAUGUUACAUUAGCAAAAUCAACAUACGUUAAUUUUUCACUCAUUUUGGGGUGAUUUGACAAAAAUUACAAGUUUAAGAACUAAAAGAAAUGAAAAAUUAAAUGGAGAGUUGAAAUAACUUUUUUCUAUAAAGUUGAGAUCAAAAGAAUCAUUAUGGCAAAAAAAAAUAGUUGUUGUUCUUCUUCUUUUUUUUUUUUUUUGUAUUUUUUAGUGCUAAAAUUCAAGAUGGUGCGGAAUAGUUUCUAAUCUUAUUAUUGUUAUAUAUGUUUUCGACCCCACUAGAGCUAAUCUCACAGUCUAUAUAAAGAGAGCCUAAAUAUAAUUUGUUCAGCUUCUUUUAAACAUGUUAGUUCUCCUUUGUAUGAUCAUUUACCUCCCGUGAGUAGGGUUGAGUAAAUAAAAUAAAAAUAAUAAUUAAAAAUCGAUCCAAAUCAAGGUGUUUAGACGGUUUAUGGAAUAUAAAUUAAAAAAUCACAAUUAUUCAAAAUCGAAUCAAAUUUUAUUCUUUAUUUUAAUUUAUAAAUAAAUUUAUUUUUAUAAUAUAAAAAUAAAUAUUUUAUAUUUAAAAAUAGUGAAAAUAAAUAAAUAUAUUUUAAAAAUAUUAUAUAAAAGUAUUUAAUUAUUUUUAUCUACUUAAAAUAAUUUUAAAAAAUAUCUAUGAAAAAAACUUUGAAAAUUUGUCAAAUGAUAUUUAAAAGCCGUAAAAUAAAGUUUAUUUUAUUAAAAUAAUUAUAAAAAUUUAUAAUAACAAAAUCGAACUAAACUAAAUUAUAAUGGACGGAUAAAAAAAUAGAAUCGAAUUAAACUAAUAUCACUUGAUUUUAUUGCACCAAACUGGACAUAAAGGAUCUUCUUAAAAAAUUUAACCUGCAAUGAGAUUGUUUUCCUCACUAUAACCUUCUAGAGGUGUUAUAUAAGUACAUAUCAUAUGAUAAUUAUAAAUUUAAUUAUUUAAUUCUUAUAAAAAUUAAAUAUAUUACAAAUUAAUAUUUAUAUAAUAUAUAUUAAAUACAUGUAAAUUUAUAAUCAUAAAUAUAUUUUUAAUUAUUAUUUGAUAUAAAUAAUUUUAUUAUAUUUUAUUAUUUUCAUUUAUAUAAAAUAUAGUCCUUGAAUGUUGAAGUCUAAACCCAACCCUUAAACAAAGGAAUUAAAUUUAAAGUUGAGAAAGAUAUGGAUGGUAGGAAUGGGAGCAUAAGCAUGUAGAAGCAAUGGUGGCAUUUCAUCUUAUUAGCAGCUUUGGAAUAGAUUGUUAAGGAUGAGUAGGAAUCUGUAUGCUUAACCAUUAACCCAAACAUAUCGUAGAGAUUGAUUGUUCGCUUGUCAAAAUAUUAUACUAACAAAUUAGGCAUAAUCACUUAUUUAGCUCUCCAGCUUUAUAAUAAAAAAUUAUUUUAGUCAUUCAUUUAAAUUUUUGUCUCUUUUAGUCUUUAAACUUGUAUUGUUUAUUAAACCAACCCCAAAAUAAAUGAAAAAAUUAACAUUUAUUAACUUUGUUGAUGUGGCUUCCACAUGGAAGCCAAUGUGUAUGCCACAUUAGCAAUUGAUUAUUUUUUUAAAAAAUUUUAAAAUAGUUUUUAAUAAUUUUUAUACUUUUUAGAACUUUUAAUAAGUUGUAUACUUUUUUUUUAUAUUUAAAACAUUAGUUAAUUGCUAAUGUGGCAUGCAUGUGUAUGCCAUGCAAUUUUAAGGACUAAAUUGAUUUUUUCAUAAAGUUAGAAGGUUAAACAAAUCAUUAUGCCAAAAUAUAAUAUAGAAUUUAUAAAAAUGAAAAUAUUUAUAUUUAUAUUUUAUAUUUGUUUAAGUUCGGCCUGGUCCGAAAUAUAAACUUAAAAUCUGUUCAAAUUUGUAAACAGUUAACUCAAACUAAUUUUAAAUCCACUCAUACUAUUUUAAAAAAAAUUAAAUGAAUUUAUAUUAUUUUUAACUUAAUAUUUAAUAAUUUUACAUUUUUAUUGAAAUUUUAUAUAUAGUCAUCUUAAGAUUAUAAUAGUAUUAUAAUUUUUAUUUUUAUUUGUUACAAAUUACAUAAUAUAUAAAAUUAACAUAAUAUAAAAUAUUGCAAACUUAAAAAUUGGGUCGGGCCAAACUUAGGCUUUGAAUAUUCAAAUUUAAGCUCGACCCAUAUUUUAAACGGGCGGCCUAUUUUUUGAAUUUAAUAGUUUUACCCAAAUCCUCUAAAAUUUAAAAUCAACCUUUCAGCUUGACAAAGAACAGUAAGUCUCUUUCCCUUUUCUUUCCCUAUUGUUUUGGAUAAACAAUACAGUAAGAUCAGCUGAUGAAGAAUGCAUACAGAUCGACUUUCAACAAAGAAAAAGAAAGAACAAAUGUGCAUAGAGAGGAGGAUUUCAUGGGAGCACAAUGCCAUGGACAGAUCAGCUGAUGAAGAAUGCAUGUCCUGCUUUUUGGCUCUUCCAUUGAACUCAUGCUGAAAAAGAAGCAGCUUUGUUACGAGGUUAUAUUAGAUCAUUUGAAAUUAUGAGAUUAUUAUGAUUUUAAAAAUGUAGAGCAAUUAAGUAAUUACCACCAGUUUUUCUGCAUCUAAAUUCUUAAAGUUGUCAAAUGCCUUUCAGAAAAAUGCAUGCCAAUCGAAUAUGUGGGCAGAUAAACAAAUGAGGGAAGAAAGUACGAUCUCUGCUUUUUGUAUUACAUGCUAUGCUCUGCCGAAGAAUAAAGCCAAAAGCUAACAAAAAUGAAGGGUAAAAAGAUCAAAAAUUUCAAGAUAAAACAUAAAAUUGUAUGUAAAUAUGAUUAAGAUUUAAAAUUGGAAAAUGAACAAAGCAGAGCAUGAAGUAGAAGCAUAUUGAAGGCUGGCAUGCAAGCAUUUUGGAAAAUGUCCAUUGGGUACCAAUAAAGAUUUUUUAGAAUUAAAGUAUUAGAAGCUAUGAAAUGAUAGAUAUGAGCCACCAAAAUGCUUCACACUAAAUCUAAAUUAUUCAAUUUUGUUUUAUGGAAUCAAAUAGAAAAUAAAUGAGUGGCAUGAAUUACCUGUCAUUCCUUGUUGGUAUUUGGUGUAAGCUGCAAUUUCAAAUGUGUAUACACAGAUGGAUUUCAUCAGAUCAUUUCGAUGGUGAGAUUAAUAUAAUUUAAAAGCGUAAAGCAUUUAGCUAGAUUACCACUUUUUUUUUCUGCAUUUGAAUUCUUGAAAUUGCCAAAUUCGUUUCACUAAAAGUCUUCGAUGCUUACUGCACAAAAUAGCCAAAUAAAAUGAUAAAUGAAGAAAUUGCACCCAAAGCUUGUUCUAUUUUGGCAAAAGAGGCUGUAGUUGGAGAGUCAAUAUACCAACCUGUAGCGAUAUGAGCAAUCUUAUGCCAAUCCGCACCAAUCCCCUUCCGACAUCUUUCCUCCAACUGAGGAAUUCGUUUCAUAAAGAACUCUUCCAAACUGGUUCUCGUCCGGAAGCGAUGUUAAAUUAGGCAAAUCAGAGAGAAUAAGCCUUGGCAGAUUUGUUUGAUGUUGAAGCCACUCCGGAAGAUGGCGACACUUUGGAAUCUUUGCCAGCGCUAGAGAGCGCAGGCUUAUAUGAUCUUGGAAUAUUUGGAACUUAGGUGCAGAUAACUCCAGCUCCUUGUGUCACGGACUUGGAGUUUUCCCACACAUCCGUGCGGCCUUAGGCAGUUUCUUGGCUUAAAAACGCCUAAGUCAGCCUAACUUCCACCGAUAAAGGAUUCAACAGCAAAAACGCCUAAGUCAGCUCAACUCGCAACAAUAAAGGAUUCAACAGAAUUCCCUUAAAGUUUCCACGAAGAACAGCGGAAGAACGAAAUAAGAACGAUCUUUGGAAGAUGAACAAAAGCAAGAACACUUGAGAGAAAAGUUUGAGUAAAUGCUCUCAAUUCUUAUUCACAAAGAAUAAUGAAACAAUUCAGGAGUGAGUACAAAUGAGGGGGAGGCUCUCUAUUUAUAGUUGAGCUCCCCCAAAACCGAUGGCUACAAUUAAAAGCUGUAUUCGAUUAGGACUCUAAGUUUACAGAAUUAGAAGCUGUGAACAAUUAGAACUUCUAAGACUACAUAGUCCUAUCUUCAUUAUCGGGCCCAUCAGGCUUCAAUCUGACAGGCCUGUCCAACAGCUCUUUGAAUCGGGCCAGUUCUCGUAGGCCAAAUGAUCCCCAUCUGAGCAACAGACCUCCAUUGGAUGCAUUUGGUGCGCUGGUCACGGGCUUUAAACUGCGGCCCGUGACAUUUUCCCCCACCCAUUCUCGCAACGCCCUCGUUGCGACUUCUGAAUGGCACUGACUUGAUUCGCCUCGGUCUCGUCUCGUCGCCUUAGCCUUUCCCUUUCUUCGGGAUUUUUGCCUCGGCUUCUGUUGCUUCUUAACUCGAGCCAUCCUACUCGUCGCAUUUACUCUGGUCAACUGUCCCACAUGCAUCGCUUCUUUUCCUUUGAAGUCUGAUGCACCACCCACCUCUCCCAUAGGUGGAAGCCUUGUCGAUGACUCGGCCAACUCCGACGCUUCACUCAACUUGAGCCUCAUUGGUUUCAGCUUCACUGUUUUCAUCGCAACUCUUUCCUCUAAGUUCGAUGACAAACUCACCUCUUCCUUGGGUGGAAGCCCCUUCGAUGACUCACCAAGCUCAGACGUUGCCUUUCUUUUGACUCCGGCUUGCUUUGGACAGUUCCGCAACUCAUGCGGACCACGGCACAAGAAGCACUUAACUCGCUUAUUUUUGCUCCUCUUUGCCCUCUUGGCUUCGGCUUUACCCUUGCUCGAACCAAGCUUCUUGGGUUCCUUGUCUGCUCCAUCGUUCCCCUCGAUGACAGACUUCUUCGGACACUUCCGCCUUUGUUCGAACUCUUCUUUCGACAUCCCAACGGUGCCUUUGAACCAACAACUCGAAUAUUACUUGGUUCAAACCUUGGCUCGGAUACCACUUGUCACGGACUUGGAGUUUUCCCACACAUUCGUGCGGCCUUAGGCAGUUUCUUGGCUUAAAAACGCCUAAGUCAACCUAACUUCCACCGAUAAAGGAUUCAAUAGCAAAAACGCCUAAGUCAGCUCAACUCGCAACAAUAAAGGAUUCAACAGAAUUCCCUUAAAGUUUCCACGAAGAACAGCGGAAGAACGAAAUAAGAACGAUCUUUGGAAGAUGAACAAAAGCAAGAACGCUUGAGAGAAAAGUUUGAGUAAAUGCUCUCAAUUCUUAUUCACAAAGAAUAAUGAAACAAUUCAGGAGUGAGUACAAAUGAGGGGGAGGCUCUCUAUUUAUAGUUGAGCUCCCCCAAAACCGAUGGCUACAAUUAAAAGCUGUAUUCGAUUAGGACUCUAAGUUUACAGAAUUAGAAGCUGUGAACAAUUAGAACUUCUAAGACUACAUAGUCCUAUCUUCAUUAUCGGGCCCAUCAGGCUUCAAUCUGACAGGCCUGGCCAACAGCUCUUUGAAUCGGGGCAGUUCUCGUAGGCCAAAUGAUCCCCAUCUGAGCAACAGACCUCCAUUGGAUGCAUUUGGUGCUCUGGUCACGGGCUUUAAACUGCGGCCCGUGACACUUGCAGUUACUUAUUGCAUGCCCUCUAAAUCAACCUCCUUGCAAUCUCCUAUUGUCAAUUUUUUGAGGCCGGUGAAAACAGAUUAAUGGAAACCUUGUAGUUUUCAAAGGUGAAUAAAUAAGGACAAUUAAGAUUGGUGUUAACAAUUUUUACUAAUAUUUUGAAAACAUUUUAAAUAAGUUAAUAUAUAUAAUAUAAAAAAUCUAUAAAAAUUUUAAAAUUCAAUUAUUGUAAUAUAAAACUUUCAUAUCUAAAAACUCUAACUUAAAUUAAACUAUUUCAAUUGAAUCCAACAAACAAAUUGGACCGAAAACCAAUUAAUAUGAUUGGUUCGGCCACCUCUUAACCAGAACAACAUUAGUAUGUGAAUUUAAUUUCGUAUUUAUUUAAUUUGGUUAGCACAUAUUAAUAGUUUUCAUAUUCUCUUUAGUUUUUGUAUUUUGGGAUUGUGUAAAAUUUAAAAUUUUAGAUAUUUUUAUGUUCAUAUUUUCUUUUAUAAAUAUAUAGGGGUAAGCUCUCACUAAUUUUCUCAAGCUUUUAGGAGUUCCUUCUAUUGAAGCAAUAUCAUGAGCGAAUCUAUAAUCAAUAUAUAUGAGAAAGAAAAAAAUAUAAAAAAAGUAAAAUAAAAAAAUAAAAAUAGACUUGAACACUUAUGGAUGUUCAAUUUAUAAUAAGCUUAGGUAAAAGGGUUAAAAUAAUCAAACUAUUGUCUAACUCAUGCUAUGAAAAAGAAAUCACAAUUAAAAAAAGAAUAUCGUAUGCUUCAAUGAAAGUCACAAUUUAUCUUUGAUCAUGCUUGUUCGCAACUAAGUAGCUAUAAUGUAACUACAUGUUCCUACAGACCUCGCUCUAGUUGACUUUGCCCUAUGAUCCUUUAGCCGAAUUUGUGAUGUCUAUAUUUUAAUAUGCGAGGUAUUUAAAAAAAUAGAUACAUCAAUUUAUUUUUGUAGUGGGUGAAUAUAAUUAUUUAUUUAUGCAAUAUAUAAACAUAAAAUGAUGUCAUAUUAAUAAUUUAUGAAAAUUAGAUCAAAUUAAAAUUUCAUGUAUAAAAUUACAUAUUAUGCCAAAGUUUAUAUAUAGUUUUGAGAUUUAUCCCAUUUUCCUAUUAACUUAGCCAUUAGCUUGAGCAUUAAAUGUUCGCUCAAAUAUGAUAGGGGACAUACUUAAAACACAUGUGUACAUGCUAUAUAGGCAACUUGAAUCUAAUGUGUUAAAAAAAGAAGAAGAAGAAAUAAUCCUCUUAAAAUUUAUAAUCUCGUCGUAUUUUUAAUAUGUUAUAAUCAAGUUAUCAAUAUGAUGAGUCCACAAGUAUUUACAAUUUAAUCCAUGUCAAAUGAGAACAGAAAUUUAAAAUCUAAAUUGAUAGCUACAAAAAUGAAAUGAUUUUAUUGUUAUAAUAUUAAUACUUUCAAAACUUAAUUAAAAUAUUUUAAAAUUUACAAAUUAAUUCUAAAACAAUAUUUAAUAAAUUGAGAAUAUUUAAUACAAAUAACUUCUUAUUUGAAUAUAAAUAAUUAUAACACAUUUAUUAUUAAAUGAAAAUAAUAUUGUUUGGUUGGAAAUGGUCCCACCGUGUUUUACGUUUGGGGAACAAAGCGACGGCGUUUUAGUUGGAGAAGAAGGGAGUAACGUUGUUAAGUACAUCAUUUUGUUUAUUUUCGUUUUAAAUUUGUUUUCUCGUUUUCUAUUUGAUGCCGUUAAUAUUCUUUUUUGGGUAAACUAUAUUAAAAGUCAUUCAACUAUUUUAAAAAGUACAAAAUGAUCACCAAAUUAUUAGUAAUUUCUUUUAUCUAAUUAUGAAAAGUUACAAAAUAAUCAAUAAACUGUUAUUUUUUUCCUUUUCUUUCACCCAACUAUCUUGGAUUUUUUGGUAUUUUCUAUUUUUUCAUUAGCCAACUAAUGAUAAAAAUGAUAAAAUUGAAUCGUUGGGAGACUAUUUUGUAACUUUUCAUAAUUGAGUAACCAAAAAGGAAAAAAAAAACUUAGUUGGGUGACUACUAAAGUAGGUUACCCUUUUUUAGGUUAAAAUAUGCCAUAUGUCCUUGUACUCGCCAUAAAUUUGAAAUUUAGUCUCUAUACUUGUAUUUAUAGGAAUUUAAUUCUUUUACUUUUUAAAGUUCAAAUUUCAGGUCCAAUUGUUAAUACUGUUAAAUUAACCAUUUAAUGAUAGAGGGACUAAUUUGUAUGCAGUCCCUACAGUACCGGUACUUUAACCCUUAUAUAUAUAUUUGAAUUUUAUUUUAGGAUUAAAUUGAAAAUUUGAAAAAAGUAAGAGUUCAAAAAGGUAAAAACAAAUGAAAUUAGCACAUUAACUUACAAUUAUAUACCCUUUCUUUUCCCUCCUUUUCUACUCUAUAUCUCUCUAAUGUCAGAACUAAAACCCUCAUUUUCUCUCCCUUCCUAUUUCCCUAUUGCAAUUAUACCCACCUCGUUUCCCCUCAAUAUCAUAAACCUCCAUGUUCGGGAUGGUCUUAUGCUGCCGUAUUAACCUCCUCCUACGGCUUCAACAGUACCAGCUUCGACGGUUCCUCCGGUUGUUCCGCCGAUACGUCGUCACCUGGCCUUCGAUUCGACGAAGCCGCUGUUUGUUCAUCCCGAUGAUUAUCACAGAUUUUCAUCUAGUAAUAGUCGUGGAAUCGUCACCGAUCAGGAAGUUGAAGCUGAACAUUUAAUGCUGUGCUCUAUAUGAAGAAAGCUUGAUGGGUGUUAGUUCUUUUGAUGUUUGUAGAAUAAUAAAAGAAAACUUCUCAAGUUUAUUGGAUGCUAACAUAUUGUUAUAUACAAGCAAGGAAAGGAAGUAACAGAAAGUAACAGAAAAAUAACUACUAACUGACUAACAAGAAAUUAAUUUAAAACUAUAUGACUAAUAGCCCCCCUCAAGCUGGAGAGUGAAUGGGAAACAGUCCCAGCUUGGACAAAAUAAGCUGGAAGGGAACAGCAGGCAGAGCUUUGGUGAAGAUGUCAGCAAGCUGGUCUUUGGAAGAAUAAGGAAGCAAUUUGACAACACCGGACAACACUUUUUCACGAACAAGAUGACAGUCGAUCUCAAUAUGUUUAGUACGUUCAUGAAACGUAGGGUUUGCAGCAAUUUAGAGAGCAGAAUUGUUGUCGCAAAAAAAAGCAGUAGGCCCAGAAAUAGACAGAUGCAAAUCAGACAGAAGAAAUCGAAGCCACUGAAUUUCACAAACAGUAGAUGCAAGAGCCCUAUAUUCUGCUUCUGAGGAAGAGCGAGACACGGUGCUUUGCUUCUUGGCUUUCCAACUAACAAGGGAAUCUCCAUAAAAUAGGUAGUAACCAGUCACGGAGCGACGUGUGAGAGGACAACCAGCCCAAUCAGAGUCACUAAAUGCCUUCAGUGUAGGCGAAGAAGAAGCAGAAAAGAAAAUACCAAAGUCAAUGCAUCCUUUCAGGUAGCGAAGAAUGCGAUGGGCAGCUUGAAGGUGAGUGACUAUAGGUCGGUCCAAGAAUUGACUUAACUGUUGAACAACAAAAGCAAGAUCAGGUCUAGUAGAAACCAAAUAUAAUAGGCGUCCAAUAAGUUUUCUGAAAAUAGUGUUAUCAGGAAGUAAUUCGUCAGAAGCAUCGCGAGGGAUUUUAGUAACCAUAGGAGUUGUAACAGGCCUGCAAUCUGAGAAACCAAAAUCAGCCAGUAGAUCGAGAGCAUAUUUUUGCUGGCAAAGAUGAAUACCAGCAAAACUACGAGCAACUUCAAGGCCAAGAAAAUACUUGAGAUCCCCCAAGUCUUUGAUGCUAAAGGCAGAAUGCAAAAAGGCUUUUACCCGUGUGAUUUCUUCCAAAGAAUCACCAGCUAGAAUAACAGCAUCAACAUAAACCAAUAAGGCAGUAAAGGAAAUUUCAUCCUUUUUAACAAACAGAGAAAAAUCUGAAGUAGAUUGAACGUAACCAAUUGUAGUGAGAGCUGCAGUGAGUUUGGCAAACCACUGUCGACUAGCCUGCUUGAGACCAUAUAAUGAUUUUUGCAACUUACAAACCUUAUGGGAAGUGGAGGAAGCAAAACUAAGAGGCAAAAACAUAUAAACUUCUUCAGUCAAAUCUCCAUGCAGAAAUGCAUUGUUAACAUCAAGCUGGUGCAAAAACCAGUCUUUGGAAGCAGCAAUAGCAAGCAAUAAUCGAACAGUAGUAAUCUUGGCCACAGGGUAAAAAGUAUCAAAAUAAUCAACACCCUCAGUUUGUGUGAAACCUUUAGCAACCAAACGAGCCUUGUAACGCUCAAUAGAACCAUCGGCUCGAUAUUUCACACGAUAGACCCAUUUGCAACCGAUUGCAAUUUUGCCUGAAGGUAAGUCCAUAAUGAUCCAGGUGUUAUUUUGUUCAAGAGCAGAAAUUUCAGCUUGCAUUGCUUCUUGCCAAUGGGGAAUUUUGCUAGCUUGUAAAUAGGUUGUAGGUAUGGGAGAAGCAUUGAUAGCAAGAGUAAUAGGUGUGGCGCAUCGAAGAUGAUUGGCAACAGUUUUGCUGGAAAAGCAGUGAUACUGGUCUAAAUAUGAAGGAGGUUUCCUAAGACGAGGUGGCCUAGAGGGUUGUAAAGGAACGGGAGGUGAGGGUUGUGAUUGAAUUGGCAAGUCAUAGGUAAUGGUGGGGUCAAAGGUUAACUGUGGGAUGGAAGAGGAAGAAGAUGGUUGUUGAGAAAAAGGGAAAACGGACUCAUGGAAAUGGACAUUUUUGGAUAUAAAAAUGGCAUGGGUUGAUAGAUCAAAAAGAAUAUAGCCUUUGACAUGAGGUGGAAAACCAAGAAAGACACACUCACGUGCUCGAGGAUCCAACUUAUGACGAUGAGCAGUAAGAGUGGUUGCAAAACAAAGACAGCCAAAGACACGGAGGUGCUGAAAAGAUGGCUUAGUUUGGUAUAACUUGUCAAAAGGGGUAAGGUUAGCCAAAAUGGGAGUAGGGGUACGAUUAAUAAGAAAAACAACAUGAAGAAUAGCAUGUCCCCAAAAAUGCUUAGGCAAAUGAGAAUGAAAUAAGAGAGCCCGUGCAACAUUAAAAAUGUGUUGGUGCUUGCGUUCUACAAGACCGUUUUGUUGUGGGGUUUCAACACAUGUAGUUUGAUGAAUUGUGCCUUUGGAAGCAUAAAAGGCUAGAAUGGCAAACUCACAACCAUUGUCAGAUCGAAUGACUUUAAUUUUAGAUGAAAAUUGAGUUUCAACAAGUGUGAAAAAAUUCUGAAUGUGAGUACGAACUUCAGAUUUUGCUUUCAAUAAAAUAAUCCAAGUAAAGCGACUAAAAUCAUCAACAAUGGUUAAAAAAUAACGAUGACCAGUAAUGGAAAUAACAUCAGUUGGACCCCAAAUAUCAACAUGAACAAGUUCAAAAAUUUUAUUGGAAAUGGAAGUGCUUACAGGAAAAGAUAAUUUCUUUUGUUUGGCCAAAUGGCAGGCUGUACAAGGUGCAUUAUUUGACAAAGACAAAGAAGGAAUGUAAGGGAAAAGUAGUUUUAGUCGAGAAUCAGAAAGAUGACCGAGACGAUGAUGCCAAAGGGAACAUGAAGAUGUGUUGGCUGACAAGGCAAUGGGAGCAGAAAUGGAAAAAGUUUGAGCUGGGAAAUCCAAAAUAUAAAGACCAUGGAGCACUCUAGCUGUACCAAUCAUAUUCGAAGAAGGAAGAGCCUGUAUAGAACAAUGAUUUUUAUGAAAAGUAAAGGAACAAGGUAAUAUAGCAGUGAGUUUAGUAACAGAUAAAAGAUUAAAGGUAAAUUGAGGAACAUAGAGAACAUUAGUAAUGUAAAGACUAUUAUUGAAAAUGACUGUACUAGAAAUUCGAGCACAAACUUUAGUGCCAUUUGGAAGGUUGAUGUAUAUAGGUUUAAUGGAAUGAAAAGAAGCAAAAAAUGAUAAAGAGUGAGCAAUGUGAUCAGUGGCACCUGUGUCAAUGAUCCAAUGAUGGGAUUGAAGAGAAAAUAGGUUACCUGAGGAUGGGAAAGGGUUCGGUUGUGAGGAAGAAGCAGUAUUGGUAACAUGAGGUGGGGAGGUAGAUGCUGGAAGUAAUGCAAGUAGCUGUUGCAACUGAUCUUGUGUCAAAGUAACAGAAGGAUCAGAUGGCAAAAUAUCAACAUGCUGCGAAGAGUCCAAAGGUUGUGAAGCACAAUCAUUAAGCGCUGUAUGUGCACAAGAGGCCCGACCUCGAGACUUGUAACCAGGUGGAUAUCCAUACUUUUCAUAACAAGUAUCAACAGUAUGCCUAGAUUUGCCACAGAAGGUACAUUGCCAUGAAUCAGUAAAUGAUUUAGCCUGAGGUUUCUUUGAAGAACUGUGGUGGCGCAGUGUGUUGCUAACAAACAACUGAGAUGAGCCAGUAGGAAGGUGACGUUCUUGUUGAAUAACCAGGGAAAAUACUUUGUUGAUUGGAGGCAAGGGAUCAAUAAGCAUGAUUUGAGAACGAACAGCAGCAAAUCGAUCAUGAAGACCUUUAAGAAAACGAAUAACGUAGUCGUUAUCAUGAUAUUUCUGGAGAGUGACAAAAACACCGCAAGAGCAAGAUGGUGAACAAGAACAAACUGGAAUUGGUCGAAAAUUCAUCAACUCAUCCUAGAGAAUUUUUAACUCAGUAAAGUAAUCAGUAACGGAACGAUCAUCUUGCUUGAAAGCAUUGAUCUCUUCUUGGAGAGCAGAAAUGCGGAAAACAUCACUUUGAGAAAAGCGUUCACGAAGUCGGGCCAAAGAACACUGUUCAUGAUCGAGGGCGAGAUGGAAUGGUGCAACCAAGAAAGCACCAUAGUGUUACAUCGUUCCCAGGCAGAAUAAAGAGGAUCCGUUCGAGGUGGAACCGUGAUGGUGCCGUCAACAAACUGAAGCUUGUUCUUGGAUAGAAAUGCCAUUGUCAUAGCUCGAGACCAAGAGUGAUAGUUUGAGCUUGAUGAGACAGGAGAAACAAGAACCAAAGCUGGAUUUUCAUUUGGAUGCAGAUAGUAUGGGCUAGAAGGCAGCAUAGUAUCAUGAAAUGCCAUUGGAAGAAAAGGGAAUCAAGAAUGCAGAUUAUGGAGAAAGCAAAAUAUAACGUCUGAUACCAUGUAGAAUAAUAAAAGAAAACUUCUCAAGUUUAUUGGAUGCUAACGUAUUGUUAUAUACAAGCAAGGAAAGGAAGUAACAGAAAGUAACAGAAAAAUAACUACUAACUGACUAACAAGAAAUUAAUUUAAAACUAUAUGACUAAUAAUGUUUUGUCUUUGAUGGAUGUUUGAAAAAUGAUUCAGUUGAUAUCCAUAAUGUCUAUCACUAUAGUUUCCCCCUUAUGCAUAAUUCGACUGCUCUGCUAGUUUUGUCGGACAAAAUUAUAUUCGCAUAUUAUAUUCUUUUUCUUUAUUGUCUUCAACGCGAUAACAAGUGAAUUACUAGUUACUUUACUUGAUUUUUUCAUGGCAUUUAUCUCUUUGAGUUUUGGCCUUUGUGAAUUAACUUUUGAAUCAAGUAACGAAGCAUUUCUGAUGGUUCUUAUGGCUAACAGUAAGUUUUCUUGUACAAGCUGUCGCACUUAUGCAUUUGUUAAACUUAUGCUCUUUUUUAUUUUAUUUUCUUCAAUUCAAUUGGUUGUUAACGUUGAUAUAACCGUGCACAAAUACUAAGGGACCUUGUAAUUUUGCCUGCCAUUGCCAGUACUUCGAAAUAUUGCUGAUUUUUCUCAGCAAUUAAAAAGGAAGAGCGCAGCAGACAAAAAUGAUGUUGAGUCUAGCCAAUGGACAAGCAGUCCGGGGGUUACCUGUAUAUGGUAAAGGAGGAAGGAUAAAUAAUAGAUCAAAGACAUCAAAAGCCAAUAAAUCAAUGCCUCACACACCUGUGUCAAAUGCUGGUGCGAUACUAUUUCCUACUGGCUUUGUCCAUAGAAGGAAACUUAUGAUUCACCCCACGGCUCUAUCAUCAAUGCCUCAUUGCUCGAAUUAAGAGAGAUGGAUUUUGUAGAAGAGGAAUCACUGACAUUAUAAAUGAUAAUUGGCAGGUUGUCCAUCUCCUCUUACACCUGUGGCAGCUGCUGUUUAGAUAGUCCUUUAGUUAAUCUUUACUGCCCAUUCUUUUUUCUUUUACUAUAGUCUGUUUUAGCUCCUUAACCUGCUAUGGAUGGUGAGAACGACAAUAAUGCAGUCCCCAUUUUUAGGUCUGUUGACGAAAAAGUUUGUCAAUCUGAUGAAGCAUGCUGAUUUGUCAAUCUGAUGAAGCAUGCUGAAGAUGGUAUCCUUGACCUAAAUAAGGCUGCAGAAACAUUGGAGGUAAUGAAAUACUAGCGAGCUUAUGUAUCAUUGGGUGUUUGUUGAGUAUUUUUUUCAUGUUACUUAAAGGGUUCUUUUGUCCUUUAUUUUUCCCUGUAAAUGUUGUAACAGGUGCAGAAGAGGAGGAUAUAUGAUAUAACAAAUGUCUUGGAGGGCAUCCCUUCAUCUGAAUACUGUUUGGAACCCUAAAAAAACAUAAAUGUGUUUUUUCCUGAGAUGGCACGUAUUUUGCAAUAAGAAAAAUAAAGAGUACAAUUAAAAUGUUUAUGCAGUUCGGAACUUGUCCUAUGUCUGCGGAGCUUUGCCCAAAGAUGAAUCCACUAUGAACUUUAUAGUACAAAGAAAUGAUUUAAGCUUAACCCCUCAAACACUUUAUGCAAAUUCUCACUUUUGUACAAUUAAGUAAAUUCUCUCCCAACUCAUUUUAGCUAUGCAAGUGAAAAUUCACAUUCAACACUCACAUGAUUUUCCUACUAUGAAUAAGUUCUUAAUAAGCUCCAUAUAAGUGGAAUAAUAAAUUUUCAAAUGCAAUAUGUCUGGGAAUUGUCAUGCUUGAACAACGACUCUUCCAAAAGCAUCAAUGAAUCUGAAAAUUAUAAAUGCCAACAUAGAAUAUGUUACAAAUCCCGUUAUUAUCAGCCUUAUAUUUACACAUAUGUCUGUUUAGUAUAAUGCUGUUGAUAUAUAAAUAAUGAAACAUUUUAUCAACUUCAACCUCACCACCAAAUAUUCUGAAGCAUUUUCCUUUUUUUCCUGUUUGGACCUUCAAUAACAAAUUUGGCUGGAAUUCCAAACAGCUAAAAGAGUGCCCUGCAUCAAUGAAUAUUAAGAUGGUAAGCAAAAACAUAAAUAUAUAUAAAGAUAUGAUAGGUAAGUGCUUAAAUGAAGAAAGCAGAGCAUAUAGUACAACCAUUUUGAAGGCUUCAUGGGCCUCUCUCUCCACAUCAAUCAUUUUUUAGAAUCAAAAUAUUAGAAGCAAAUAGAUGAAUUAUCACCUCUUUUUAUGCAUAUAAAAUGAUUGAAGUUGACUAAUGCCUUUCUCCAAUGCCUUACUGCACAAAUCAGCAAAUAUAUUAUGAAAGAUGAUAAGUAAAAAGUAGGAUGAAAACAAAGGGAUUUUAACAAGGAAAUUAACAGUAUCCAACUUCAAUGAAAAAUGGCAUCAGACCCCUGACUUGGAGAUUCAAUAUACCACUCUUAUUUUUCUUCAAAAAAAGAUAAGGUCAUCAAAAUAAAUAAAUAACAAAGACAGACCAACCUGAUAUGACCCAAUGUUGGGGAUGUGAGCAAUCUUUUGCCAAUCAGCGCCAAUGUCCUUCCGACAUCUUUCCUCCAACUGAGGAAUUCCUUUUAUGUGUAAAUACUCCAAACUGGUUAGGCAACGCAUCCCGUCCGGAAGAGAUGUUAAAUUUGGCAAAUUAACAAGAUGAAGCCGUUGCAGAUUUGUUAGAUGUUGAAGCCACUCCGGAAGAUGCCGACACUUUGGAAUAUAUUCCAGCCGUAGAGAGCGUAGUCUUGUAUGAUCUUGGAAUAUUUGGAUGCCAGCUCCAGAUAACUCCAGCUCCUCGCAGUUCCUUACUUCAAACUCUUCAAGGAAAGUGAGAUGUUGGAACACAGGAAGCAGUGACCUCAAUCCAUUCCAGUUAUGAAUUUUUAAUGUUUUCAAUUGAACAAGAUGUUGAAGCCCAAUGGGGAGAGACACCAGCUUUGGAAUAUUAUCAAUCUCCAAAUGAGAGAGAUUCUUAAGGGGUUCCCCUUGCAUGCCCUCUAAAUCAACCUCCUUGCAAUUUCGUAUUGUUAAUCUUUUGAGGCUGGUGAGAUGUUGCAGGCACUCAUCUAGCGUGUAAGUGUCCAACCCCUCAAUGUUGUGUACAUCGAAAGAUUUCAAUUUGGAGAGUGGAAGAGAAGAGGUUGAAGUUGAUGGGGCCUUAGCAUUGAUGUUCAUCUUGAUAGUCUGCUUUAACGGCCUUGAACUGGUAUUCGACAACAUUAGAUCUUCACCGAGUGAUGGAUACAGUGGCAUUAAAGUCAAAGGGCAAUUUUGAAUUGUUAAAGAGGAAAGACAAGGAAAUGCCAUGGUUGAUGUUCCCAUAACUGUUGUGUCGUCCUCGUUGGAAUCAUCAUCGAUUGGUUUUGUCGUCCUCCACCAACUCUUCAUAUUUGGGCAAUCCUCGAGGUUAAGAAGCUUAAGCGAUGGGAAGAAUGAUUGUGGUUCUCCUUGACUUCCUUUUGGGCUAUUAUCAUCCAUGUACUCCAGCUUAGUACAAAACAUAAUAUCCAGCAGUUCAAGACAGGGCAAUUGAGCAAAGGACGGGAAAUAUUUGAAAUUACCACCACUUAUGAAAAUUUUGACGAGAUUUGUGAGCAAAGGAAGCCAACUUGGAAACUUGGCAUCACCCCUCCAUCCUCGAAUACAGAGCUCCUUUAGAUUAGGAUGGGGUUGGAGGUCUUCAAGUGAUUUAUCAUCAUCAUAUUCAUCAUCGUUAAAAUCAAAAUAAAAGCUCCAUUGUAAAACCAACGAUCUCAAAUGUUGCUUCUCAUUCAAAUUAGCAGCCUUAAACUUCUCUUUUGCAUUUUUUACGAAUCCCAAAUUUGCUAUUUCUAGAUGUCCCCUUAAGUUGUUAAGCAGUCUCAAUUCACUUAGAUCUGCACCGCCAUGGGACCCAUCUUUAUCCACUACAAACAUGCUUAACGUCUCAAGUGAAGUCAGCUUCCCUAUUCCACGUGGCAUAUGAGUUAAACUAAAACAAGCGUCACACCCAAUAUGGGUAAGCUUCACCAAUUUUUCAACCUUCUUUGGCAAUUCUUGAAGCCCACAACACCAGUCAAGUUUCAGCGCUAGCAAAUUCUGAAUCUUGCAAAUACUCUUUGGGAGAAUCUUGAUAUUGUAAUUGGAAGAAAGAUCAAGGUGCCUCAAAUGUUUCAACUUGUAAAUGGAGGGUGAAAUCAUCUGAAUACCUAACGAAUGCAAAUCCAAUACACGCAAGCAUCUACAAUUUGCAAUUAUCAAAUCCCAAGUUUCAUAGCUGAAAUCAUCACUCAAUUUUUGAUCUAUGUUGUCUUGAAAAUGUAACAAGGUUCGCAACUUCUUUCCCUUAAACAAAGGAAUUAAUGAAGGUUUAAUUGAUAUGUGGCGACAUUUUUCACCAACAUCACUUGCAAUUCUAUUUGAAUCUACAAUACUACUCUCCAUCCCUGCUACUGAUUCAGCUAGAUCAUGCAUUAAAUCAUGCAUUUUACAUGUUAGCCCUUCCCAUGAAUAUCUUUCUCCUACUUCUUGGAAGAAACUUCUUUCAACUAAAUCUUUAAAAUACCCAAACCCAAUCUCCUCCAGAGAUUGACUUUGAUUCAAUUGCUUUAUGAAACCCUGUGCAAUCCAAAAUUGAACAAGCGCUUGUACUUCAAUUCUGUAAUCUUUUGGAUACAAUCGGCAAUAAGCAAAGCAAUGCUUCAAAUGAGACGGGAGAUGAUCAUAACUCAAUUUCAGCAUAGGUAGAAGUUCUCCUUCAAUUUGUGAUAUUUUAGCAAGUUCAUUUUCUUUGAAAGAAUGCCACUCAUUUGCAGUUUUCUUCAAAGAUAAUGUACCAGCUAUCGUCCUUAUGGCUAAGGGAACCCCACCACACCUUUCCGAAAUCUGUC
Molecule: long non-coding RNA, 22770 nt
Filed under: Gossypium raimondii (Peruvian cotton)
Lineage: Eukaryota; Viridiplantae; Streptophyta; Magnoliopsida; Malvales; Malvaceae
Description: long non-coding RNA (GRAI_LNC006009)
Source: RNAcentral